UGGGUAACCUGCCUGUAAGACUGGGAUAACUCCGGGAAACCGGAGCUAAUACCGGAUAGUUCCUUGAACCGCAUGGUUCAAGGAUGAAAGACGGUUUCGGCUGUCACUUACAGAUGGACCCGCGGCGCAUUAGCUAGUUGGUGGGGUAAUGGCUCACCAAGGCGACGAUGCGUAGCCGACCUGAGAGGGUGAUCGGCCACACUGGGACUGAGACACGGCCCAGACUCCUACGGGAGGCAGCAGUAGGGAAUCUUCCGCAAUGGACGAAAGUCUGACGGAGCAACGCCGCGUGAGUGAUGAAGGUUUUCGGAUCGUAAAGCUCUGUUGUUAGGGAAGAACAAGUGCGAGAGUAACUGCUCGCACCUUGACGGUACCUAACCAGAAAGCCACGGCUAACUACGUGCCAGCAGCCGCGGUAAUACGUAGGUGGCAAGCGUUGUCCGGAAUUAUUGGGCGUAAAGGGCUCGCAGGCGGUUUCUUAAGUCUGAUGUGAAAGCCCCCGGCUCAACCGGGGAGGGUCAUUGGAAACUGGGAAACUUGAGUGCAGAAGAGGAGAGUGGAAUUCCACGUGUAGCGGUGAAAUGCGUAGAGAUGUGGAGGAACACCAGUGGCGAAGGCGACUCUCUGGUCUGUAACUGACGCUGAGGAGCGAAAGCGUGGGGAGCGAACAGGAUUAGAUACCCUGGUAGUCCACGCCGUAAACGAUGAGUGCUAAGUGUUAGGGGGUUUCCGCCCCUUAGUGCUGCAGCUAACGCAUUAAGCACUCCGCCUGGGGAGUACGGUCGCAAGACUGAAACUCAAAGGAAUUGACGGGGGCCCGCACAAGCGGUGGAGCAUGUGGUUUAAUUCGAAGCAACGCGAAGAACCUUACCAGGUCUUGACAUCCUCUGACAACCCUAGAGAUAGGGCUUUCCCUUCGGGGACAGAGUGACAGGUGGUGCAUGGUUGUCGUCAGCUCGUGUCGUGAGAUGUUGGGUUAAGUCCCGCAACGAGCGCAACCCUUGAUCUUAGUUGCCAGCAUUUAGUUGGGCACUCUAAGGUGACUGCCGGUGACAAACCGGAGGAAGGUGGGGAUGACGUCAAAUCAUCAUGCCCCUUAUGACCUGGGCUACACACGUGCUACAAUGGACAGAACAAAGGGCUGCGAGACCGCAAGGUUUAGCCAAUCCCAUAAAUCUGUUCUCAGUUCGGAUCGCAGUCUGCAACUCGACUGCGUGAAGCUGGAAUCGCUAGUAAUCGCGGAUCAGCAUGCCGCGGUGAAUACGU
This 1266-nucleotide ribosomal RNA is filed under the name Bacillus sp. (in: firmicutes). RNAcentral's name for it is "bacterial SSU rRNA". It matches the Rfam family "Bacterial small subunit ribosomal RNA", at positions 118 to 1371 of the family's 1533-position model. Lineage: Bacteria; Bacillati; Bacillota; Bacilli; Caryophanales; Bacillaceae. The record is from RNAcentral.